Bos taurus (domestic cattle) is the source of this 1395-nucleotide long non-coding RNA. The record is from Ensembl. Lineage: Eukaryota; Metazoa; Chordata; Mammalia; Artiodactyla; Bovidae.
AAUAUUUCAAUGUCUAAGCAAUUUCUUGUUAUUAAUUGAGACCAAGCAAUUAUCUGCCUUUCAGCUGUGUAACAUAAAAUACCAGAGUCAAGGCCAAUGACCCAUGGAAAUUGUCCAAAGAUACAACCACAGGGCCCGGAAGAUAUCUCUACAUCUUGGCCUUCUGAGGCAAAGGGCGUUUCGAGAGAAGCCCUCUUCUCAGAGUCACCACAGUCCAGACAUGCUCUCCGUGGUACUAGACACAGAGUGAGUCAACCCAGGGCAGCUUUAAAAUCCAAAACUGGAUUCAAGCGGACUGCAGCUUACUUGGUAAGAAACUUGGGAGCCACCACUGAGAUAUUAAGAAAGCCUGUCUCUAGGUUAGAGAUUUGGUCUUUCCAGCCCUUUGGGGGUGUUUCAAACAACAGGAGCUUGGAAAACCUCUAAGGAAGAUUAUUCCUAGGACAGAGCAAAUAUAAAACACUUCCAGCAUCACAAACAAUGCUGUAAAAAUUUAAGGUGUCAGCUUUUAAAAAUUUCCUUUUCAAAACUGAUCUGCAAUGAUUUUUUCUGUCAAUUCCCGAGAAGUGGGCAAUCUAAUAUCAUCUUUGGAGCUAUGGUUUUAAUGGCUAAUCACGUUUGUUUAGUCAAAUUGGAAAACCAAAUAACUUUGAAAGAGUCUGUCUUCCCUGGAAUGUGCUAAUUUCUAGUUACUCAGGGCUAUGUGUAAGAAUUUAAACUAAAACCUGCUCUUCACAUUAACAGACAAAAAGGGCUUUGUCUGUCUAUCUAAAAUGACUUCCUACGCAGGAACCUGAGUGAUAGCAAGAUGUUACAACAGUUGAGUCAUUCUUUAAAAAUCAGCUCUUCCAUUAUGUCACAUCUCUGAUGAAAUAUCACCUUCUGAGAAAGCUUUCCUUAGCAUCCUACCAACUCUGGUCCGUCAUUCUGUCUGCUUAUUUAUUAGCGGUUUGUUGAUUUGUUGUCAAUCUCCCUAUUCUCUGUGAUCUCUAAAAAGGAUGUAAUCUUUUUUUCACUGACAUAGCUAUCAUGCCUAGAACAGUAACCCUGUUUUGUUUUUUUGUACAUGUUCAGUAAAUAAUUAUAGGAUGAGUUUAUGAAUGGAAUCUCCUGAAAAUGAAUAUAGAAUUUUGUACAUGAGCAUUUCUAUGGAGAGAAGAAUGUAUAACUGAGAUCUUAUUCUGUACGAAUUAGGUCUGUGGUCUAAAAAGACUAAAAACCUCAGUUACACAUGUGUAAUUCCAUUUCAUUAUCAGUAACAUUAUUAUCAGCAAUAGCCAUAAAUAAAUUCUGCAGCUGACCAAAUGCUCACUUUAUUAGAAUUCUACAAAAUAAACAAAGAUAAACUGAGGAAGCAAUGAUAUAGAAUGUUUAUAUUUUAAAAGCUUGUCACUG